GUGGGGAAUCUUCCGCAAUGGACGAAAGUCUGACGGAGCAACGCCGCGUGAGUGAUGAAGGUCUUCGGAUUGUAAAGCUCUGUUAAUCGGGACGAAAGAGCCUAGUGUGAAUAAUGCUAGGAAGUGACGGUACCGGAAUAGAAAGCCACGGCUAACUACGUGCCAGCAGCCGUGGUAAUACGUAGGUGGCAAGCGUUGUCCGGAAUUAUUGGGCGUAAAGCGCGCGCAGGCGGAUCUGCCAGUCUGUCUUAAAAGUUCGGGGCUUAACCCCGUGAUGGGAUGGAAACUACAGAUCUAGAGUAUCGGAGAGGAAAGUGGAAUUCCUAGUGUAGCGGUGAAAUGCGUAGAUAUUAGGAAGAACACCAGUGGCGAAGGCGACUUUCUGGACGAAAACUGACGCUGAGGCGCGAAAGCCAGGGGAGCGAACGGGAUUAGAAACCCUGGUAGUCC
Molecule: ribosomal RNA, 450 nt
Filed under: uncultured bacterium
Lineage: Bacteria
Description: partial 16S ribosomal RNA
Rfam family: Bacterial small subunit ribosomal RNA
Source: RNAcentral